GGUAAGAUGGCUGAGUGUGUUAAGCGGUGGAUUGUAGCCCCAUGCAGAGAGGUUCAAGCCCUCUUCUUACCA
This 72-nucleotide transfer RNA is filed under the name Cheilio inermis. RNAcentral describes it as "tRNA-Tyr". It matches the Rfam family "tRNA". Rfam says of the family: Transfer RNA (tRNA) molecules are approximately 80 nucleotides in length. Their secondary structure includes four short double-helical elements and three loops (D, anti-codon, and T loops). The record is from RNAcentral. Lineage: Eukaryota; Metazoa; Chordata; Actinopteri; Labriformes; Labridae.